AUGGAAAAAUUGAAGGAAGACUUUAAGAAUGAGCGUCUAGGCUGGGAUGCAGAAAAAACAACUUUGCUGAAGAAAGCUGAAGAUGCUGACACGGCCCUUAAACCGGUGGCAGAAGAGUUAACCAGUUUGAAGCAACAAAUAAAUGCUACAACUGCUGCUGUCUUUGGAUCUUGCAUCACACAUCUGGGCUCUGAUAUGCAGAAGAAGUUGAAGGCUGCCUCUACACUGAUAGAACAACUAUAUACCGGUGCACAACGGGUUAUCUGCAUAGCUUCUUACAAUAAACUGCCACCAACUUUGAUCAAGGAUACUUUAGAGAGGCUGUCCAUGAUGCCCGCCCGGCUUGAAGAGCUAAAACGAUCAGCAGCAAGGGCCGGUGCUCUUACUCCGUUGACCCAUGCUAAAGCAUGGAUAUCUGAUCUUGAUCCGGCUGACAUAGGGGAUGGCUAUCCAAGCAUCAAGGAGGACGGAUCAGAAUUUGAUAAUGAAGAUCUUCAGGCUUUGACGAGGGAGAUGCGCUCGUCGGCUAGUAAGUUGACCGAAGAGACUGAUCUUUCAUUUCAUCAAUCGAUUUAUGAUGCUCACAACAAGAGGGUCAAUACGCCGAGCUACAAAACUCCCACUCUUAUUCCGCCAAUUCGUAAGCAAACUUAUGCCCCUGAAGUCGACCCCUCCAAUCUUACAAGCGAUGAAGCUGUGUUCAGAGCCUUAACUGGGAUCGAUUGGUCAACCACUGACUUCCAGCCACUGGAUAGAGAGGAGGAGGAUGAUCCGCAACCAUCAAGCCAGCCCGCCAUUGAUGCAUAA
RNAcentral lists this ribosomal RNA (807 nucleotides) under Triticum aestivum (bread wheat). RNAcentral describes it as "partial small subunit ribosomal RNA". The record is from RNAcentral. Lineage: Eukaryota; Viridiplantae; Streptophyta; Magnoliopsida; Poales; Poaceae.